CCCCGGUAAACGGCGGCCGUAACUAUAACGGUCCUAAGGUAGCGAAAUUCCUUGUCGGGUAAGUUCCGACCUGCACGAAUGGCGUAAUGAUGGCCAGGCUGUCUCCACCCGAGACUCAGUGAAAUUGAACUCGCUGUGAAGAUGCAGUGUACCCGCGGCAAGACGGAAAGACCCCGUGAACCUUUACUAUAGCUUGACACUGAACAUUGAGCCUUGAUGUGUAGGAUAGGUGGGAGGCUUUGAAGUGUGGACGCCAGUCUGCAUGGAGCCGACCUUGAAAUACCACCCUUUAAUGUUUGAUGUUCUAACGUGGACCCGUAAUCCGGGUUGCGGACAGUGUCUGGUGGGUAGUUUGACUGGGGCGGUCUCCUCCUAAAGAGUAACGGAGGAGCACGAAGGUUGGCUAAUCCUGGUCGGACAUCAGGAGGUUAGUGCAAUGGCAUAAGCCAGCUUGACUGCGAGCGUGACGGCGCGAGCAGGUGCGAAAGCAGGUCAUAGUGAUCCGGUGGUUCUGAAUGGAAGGGCCAUCGCUCAACGGAUAAAAGGUACUCCGGGGAUAACAGGCUGAUACCGCCCAAGAGUUCAUAUCGACGGCGGUGUUUGGCACCUCGAUGUCGGCUCAUCACAUCCUGGGGCUGAAGUAGGUCCCAAGGGUAUGGCUGUUCGCCAUUUAAAGUGGUACGCGAGCUGGGUUUAGAACGUCGUGAGACAGUUCGGUCCCUAUCUGCCGUGGGCGCUGGAGAACUGAGGGGGGCUGCUCCUAGUACGAGAGGACCGGAGUGGACGCAUCACUGGUGUUCGGGUUGUCAUGCCAAUGGCACUGCCCGGUAGCUAAAUGCGGAAGAGAUAAGUGCUGAAAGCAUCUAAG
Molecule: ribosomal RNA, 868 nt
Filed under: Salmonella enterica
Lineage: Bacteria; Pseudomonadati; Pseudomonadota; Gammaproteobacteria; Enterobacterales; Enterobacteriaceae
Also listed under: 2 other names
Description: partial 23S ribosomal RNA
Rfam family: Bacterial large subunit ribosomal RNA
Source: RNAcentral